Molecule: ribosomal RNA, 492 nt
Filed under: uncultured bacterium
Lineage: Bacteria
Description: partial 16S ribosomal RNA
Rfam family: Bacterial small subunit ribosomal RNA
Source: RNAcentral
AGUGAACGCUGGCGGUAGGCCUAACACAUGCAAGUCGAACGGCAGCACAGUAAGAGCUUGCUCUUACGGGUGGCGAGUGGCGGACGGGUGAGGAAUACAUCGGAAUCUACUUUUUCGUGGGGGAUAACGUAGGGAAACUUACGCCAAUACCGCAUACGACCUACGGGUGAAAGCAGGGGACCUUCGGACCUCGCGCGAUUGAAUGAGCCGAUGUCGGAUUAGCUAGUUGGCGGGGUAAAGGCCCACCAAGGCGACGAUCCGUAGCUGGUCUGAGAGGAUGAUCAGCCACACUGGAACUGAGACACGGUCCAGACUCCUACGGGAGGCAGCAGUGGGGAAUAUUGGACAAUGGGCGCAAGCCUGAUCCAGCCAUACCGCGUGGGUGAAGAAGGCCUUCGGGUUGUAAAGCCCUUUUGUUGGGAAAGAAAAGCAGCAGGUUAAUACCCCGCUGUUCUGACGGUACCCAAAGAAUAAGCACCGGCUAACUUCGUG